AAGCCAGACUCCUACGGGAGGCAGCAGUGAGGAAUAUUGGUCAAUGGGCGCAAGCCUGAACCAGCCAAGUCGCGUGAGGGAUGACGGUCCUAUGGCUUGUAAACCUCUUUUGUCGGGGAGCAAGGCCCGCCACGUGUGGCGGGAAGGAGAGUACCCGAAGAAAAAGCAUCGGCUAACUCCGUGCCAGCAGCCGCGGUAAUACGGAGGAUGCGAGCGUUAUCCGGAUUUAUUGGGUUUAAAGGGUGCGUAGGCGGAAGGUUAAGUCAGCGGUAAAAUGUCGGUGCUCAACACCGGCCUGCCGUUGAAACUGGUCUUCUUGAGUGAGCGAGAAGUAUGCGGAAUGCGUGGUGUAGCGGUGAAAUGCAUAGAUAUCACGCAGAACUCCGAUUGCGAAGGCAGCAUACCGGCGCUCAACUGACGCUGAAGCACGAAAGCGUGGGUAUCGAACAGGAUUAGAUACCCCGGUA
Molecule: ribosomal RNA, 467 nt
Filed under: uncultured bacterium
Lineage: Bacteria
Description: bacterial SSU rRNA
Rfam family: Bacterial small subunit ribosomal RNA
Source: RNAcentral